This 687-nucleotide unclassified non-coding RNA is filed under the name Hevea brasiliensis (rubber tree). The record is from RNAcentral. Lineage: Eukaryota; Viridiplantae; Streptophyta; Magnoliopsida; Malpighiales; Euphorbiaceae.
AGGAAAUGAACAUGGAUGAGCAUCCCAAUACUGGCAAGAAAAAGAGCAGCAAAGAAGUUGCGUAUGGGUUCAACUUGUUCAAGAGUAUGUUGGGCAAGAUCAGUUGUUGAAAUCAUCACUCCAGCAGCAAAUGAACCCAACUCUAAGCUUAGACCAAGCUUAUCGCUACACCAAGCUACAAGGAGGCAAAAUGCCACUGAAGCCAAUUGAUACAGUUCAUUAGUCUGUGAUGACAAGCUUAUCAUCAGCUUCAGGAACCAUGGAACACACUUCCGUGAUAAUAUUGACAAAAUAGCCAAAAAUGAGAGCAACAUGACCAACGACUUUGUCAUGGAUAUUAACCCUUGCAGAACAUUGGAAGUGCCUCCCAGGAUUGGAAGCAAAGCAAACAGAAGACCUACAGCACAAUCCUGCAAAAUAAGGGUGCCAAUUGUAACCUGGCCGUGAAGUGCAUUUGUACUAUUCUUUUCCAUCAAAAACUUCAACACCACAGCUGUAGAAGACAUUGAGAGAAAUGCUCCAACAAAUACACCCUCUGAAGGUUUACCGCCACACAACGAGGCUGUAAUUCCACAUAGACAUAUAAAAAGAAGAACUUGAAGUAAGCCUCCAAGAACUGCAACAGCUCGAACAAUACGGAGCUUUGUGGUUGAGAACUCCAGCCCCAAAGCAAAAAGAAGAAAAAUU